This 238-nucleotide ribosomal RNA is filed under the name uncultured Wickerhamiella. RNAcentral describes it as "partial 26S ribosomal RNA". It matches the Rfam family "Eukaryotic large subunit ribosomal RNA", at positions 164 to 410 of the family's 3401-position model. Lineage: Eukaryota; Fungi; Ascomycota; Dipodascomycetes; Dipodascales; Trichomonascaceae. The record is from RNAcentral.
CUCGAAAACGACACCUAAGUUUUCUGGAAAGGAAUGCCACAGAGGGUGAUAGCCCCGUACGGUGUUGACUCGAUACAGAGUCCUAACAUGGAGUCGAGUUGUUUGGGAAUGCAGCUCAAAUGGGUGGUAUGCUCCAUCUAAGGCUAAAUAUUUGCGAGAGACCGAUAGCGAACAAGUACUGUGAAGGAAAGAUGAAAAGAACUUUGAAAAGAGAGUGAAAUAGUACGUGAAAUUGUUG